Long non-coding RNA from Macrobrachium nipponense, 445 nucleotides. RefSeq lists it as uncharacterized. The record is from RefSeq and is a predicted model, not a curated record. Lineage: Eukaryota; Metazoa; Arthropoda; Malacostraca; Decapoda; Palaemonidae. The transcript is spliced from 3 exons.
GCAGCAGAGCAGCUUCAUCGGUAGUGAACAUAAACAAUGUGAACGUGUUUGGGUGUAUUAAUGUUAUUGUUUGCGUUUAUACAAAAAUUAUUACGUCAAGAUUGAUUUUUUGUAUAUGAAUGACUGACGAGGCGGAAAAUAGUCUUUAGAAUACAAGAUCCACCGAAAUUAGAAGAAAAAUCACGAGUAGCCUACUACCCGGCAUUGUGAUAACUUGCGUUGCUGCCAAUUCACUUCUCCCGAUUGUCAUAAAAUGUUUUGUAAAAAGUGUAGAUAAUCUUUUGGAUAUGUAAGCGAAGGCGAUGCCGUCAAAUUGAGCAGCAUAACGAGCACAAGUCUACUGAAGACCUAUGAGUAACAUCCUUGGCAAAAGUAAGGAGACGGUUUUCUGCCGACGUAGUGUUGCACUUACUGGUAUUCAGGCGGAUCUUCGUAGGCAGGUAAG